This 358-nucleotide ribosomal RNA is filed under the name uncultured Latescibacterota bacterium. RNAcentral's name for it is "bacterial SSU rRNA". It matches the Rfam family "Bacterial small subunit ribosomal RNA", at positions 1026 to 1382 of the family's 1533-position model. Lineage: Bacteria; Pseudomonadati; Candidatus Latescibacterota. The record is from RNAcentral.
CGACCUGCACAGGUGCUGCAUGGCUGUCGUCAGCUCGUGUCGUGAGAUGUUGGGUUAAGUCCCGCAACGAGCGCAACCCUUAUCCCUAGUUGCCAUCAGGUAACGCUGGGAACUCUGGGAAGACUGCCGGUGAUAAACCGGAGGAAGGCGGGGAUGACGUCAAGUCCUCAUGGCCCUUACAUCCAGGGCUACACACGUGCUACAAUGGCGCAUACAGAGGGCAGCGAAGCCGUGAGGUGGAGCGAAUCUUGUCAAAGUGCGCCUCAAUUCGGAUUGCAGUCUGCAACUCGACUGCAUGAAGUUGGAAUCGCUAGUAAUGGCAGGUCAGCAUACUGCCGUGAAUACGUUCCCGGGCCUU